UUUAUUGAUUCUUAUGUUCUUCUUAGUUCCAUACAUAUAGAUCCUCCUAGAUCUCUACGUAAUGUAAAUCAUUUAUAUGUUAUCCCUUCACCUCUUGUUACCUGGAAGCAUAGGUCUAUAAUUCCUAGGAUCUCAGAUUUUGCAAAUAAUUGUGCUCAGUGGAUUCAAUUUUUUGGCCCGAGUAUUUCUAAUUUUAAGUCAUUAGUGAAAGAACACAGGUUUUUGUUAGUUUUUAAACAUAUUCUUUCUAGCCAAUUUUGUUGCAUGUAUUGUUGCCUUCGUUAUUAUUUCUGUGUGCUUGGGACUCGUCCUGUUGAAAUUUGAAAUAAAAUAAAAGAAAAUGAAAAUCGAUGGUUAAAGUCGAAAAAUGCUUUUCUCAGAUUGCAACAGUGUAAAUCUCUGCUUAUGUUUUACUUUUUGGAAGGUAAUUAACCAGCAGUUUCUGAUGAAAUUUUCUAUGCAUUUUCCUCAUCCGUUCCUAAAAUAAUCACACAGAAUGGCAAAAAAAAAAACAUUUUUAAUAAGCUUUCUACCAGGAAUAUAAAACAUAAUAAUCAAAGAUUAGAGGGCAUUGCAACUGACAUAGGACACUGUUUUUUUCCUAUGGAUAAACACUCUCUUUCAUAAAACAUCUUGGCAAAAUCAAUUAGAAGUGUCACAGAAUUCUGGUUUGAUAGUCGAGUCUUGCAGUUCAGCAAUGAGAUCAGUCCAAAUUCCGUCCAUUUUCAGUGUCAUAUUCCUUGGUUCAAACUUAAAAGUAGCAAUAUCGUUGCAUUAGCACAGUGGAUGACACUAUUUCCCAUUGUCAAAAGUCCAUAUCACUAUCACUAUACUGCCGUGCUACCCAAGCAGCAUUUUUCAACGGAAAAAUCGCGAUUUGUUGCGAUUUUGUCGGCGAUAAAAUCGCUAUGAUCAUCAACAUCUGAGCGAUUAUCCUCGAUCUUGUUGCAAUAAUACAGCGAUUUUAUCGCCCGGCAAUUUAUCGCGAUAUUAUCGCAACAAAAAUCGCGUUAUAGGGCGAUUUAAUCUCGAAUUUAUUGAUGAAAAUUGAUCGCAAUUUUAUUGAACAAAAAUU
Molecule: long non-coding RNA, 1075 nt
Filed under: Bemisia tabaci
Lineage: Eukaryota; Metazoa; Arthropoda; Insecta; Hemiptera; Aleyrodidae
Description: lncRNA ENSSSA3NGG008500
Source: RNAcentral